This 32-nucleotide non-coding RNA is filed under the name Mus musculus (house mouse). Lineage: Eukaryota; Metazoa; Chordata; Mammalia; Rodentia; Muridae. The record is from RNAcentral.
ACAGCUCACAAAAGGUGCUUUGCUGAAACAAU